GGAGGGAUGGCCGAGUGGUUUAAGGCGGCGGUCUUGAAAAUCGCUUCCCGUUUUAAACGGGACGGGGGUUCGAAUCCCUCUCCCUCCGCCA
This 91-nucleotide transfer RNA is filed under the name bacterium. RNAcentral's name for it is "tRNA-Ser". It matches the Rfam family "tRNA". Rfam says of the family: Transfer RNA (tRNA) molecules are approximately 80 nucleotides in length. Their secondary structure includes four short double-helical elements and three loops (D, anti-codon, and T loops). RNAcentral also lists the same sequence under 1 other name. The record is from RNAcentral.